Hibiscus syriacus is the source of this 101-nucleotide small nuclear RNA. Lineage: Eukaryota; Viridiplantae; Streptophyta; Magnoliopsida; Malvales; Malvaceae. The record is from RefSeq and is a predicted model, not a curated record.
AUCCUUGCGCAGGGGCCAUGCUAAUUGGAACGAUACAGAGAAGAUUAGCAUGACCCUGCACAAGGAUGACCCGCACAAAUCGAGAAAUGGUCCAAAUGAUA